This 908-nucleotide ribosomal RNA is filed under the name uncultured bacterium. RNAcentral describes it as "bacterial SSU rRNA". It matches the Rfam family "Bacterial small subunit ribosomal RNA", at positions 1 to 901 of the family's 1533-position model. The record is from RNAcentral.
CCCUUAGAGUUUGAUCCUGGCUCAGGAUGAACGCUAGCUACAGGCUUAACACAUGCAAGUCGAGGGGAAACGACAUUGGAAGCUUGCUUCCGGUGGGCGUCGACCGGCGCACGGGUGAGUAACGCGUAUCCAACCUGCCCACCACUUGGGAAUAACCUUGCGAAAGUAAGACUAAUGCCCAAUGACAUUGAGUGCAGACAUCUAAUCUCAAUUAAAGAUUCAUCGGUGAUGGAUGGGGAUGCGUCCGAUUAGCUUGUUGGCGGGGUAACGGCCCACCAAGGCGACGAUCGGUAGGGGUUCUGAGAGGAAGGUCCCCCACAUUGGAACUGAGACACGGUCCAAACUCCUACGGGAGGCAGCAGUGAGGAAUAUUGGUCAAUGGGCGAGAGCCUGAACCAGCCAAGUAGCGUGCAGGAUGACGGCCCUAUGGGUUGUAAACUGCUUUUAUAAGGGAAUAAAGUGAGCCUCGUGAGGCUUUUUGCAUGUACCUUAUGAAUAAGGACCGGCUAAUUCCGUGCCAGCAGCCGCGGUAAUACGGAAGGUCCGGGCGUUAUCCGGAUUUAUUGGGUUUAAAGGGAGCGUAGGCCGGAGAUUAAGCGUGUUGUGAAAUGUAGACGCUCAACGUCUGCACUGCAGCGCGAACUGGUUUCCUUGAGUACGCACAAAGUGGGCGGAAUUCGUGGUGUAGCGGUGAAAUGCUUAGAUAUCACGAAGAACUCCGAUUGCGAAGGCAGCUCACUGGAGCGCAACUGACGCUGAAGCUCGAAAGUGCGGGUAUCGAACAGGAUUAGAUACCCUGGUAGUCCGCACGGUAAACGAUGGAUGCCCGCUGUUGGUCUGAAUAGGUCAGCGGCCAAGCGAAAGCAUUAAGCAUCCCACCUGGGGAGUACGCCGGCAACGGUGAAACU